GCACAAGCGAAGGAUGGCGGUGCUGCGCAUAGUAUCGCGUCCAGUGAUGGAGCCGGUAGUUCUUUGAGUAACAGUGUUACCAAAGGUGGUGGUGCAAGUAGGUCAGACGCCAUGGCUGAACAUGGAGAAAGUGUGGCAAAUGCUGUUGCCGACGAAGAUGAUGGUGAUGGAAGAUUUGAUCCUAAUGCUUUCGAAUCAGCAAUGAAUGACUCCAUCAACCCCGGAGAGAAGGGAAAUCGCAAGAAUCCAGACUGGAAAUGAUAAAGAUCAACCCAUAAUUUCUUCGUCGACUGAUAGGAAUAAUUAUAAUUCGGCUCCUUCAAUUAGUCAAAUUGGUCAUGAUGUCAUAACUUCUGCUCCACCGAGGAAAAAAAGUUACCCUGGACGAAGUAUCAAAAUUUAGUAAAUC
This is a long non-coding RNA of Folsomia candida, 409 nucleotides long. RefSeq lists it as uncharacterized. The record is from RefSeq and is a predicted model, not a curated record. Lineage: Eukaryota; Metazoa; Arthropoda; Collembola; Entomobryomorpha; Isotomidae. The transcript is spliced from 4 exons.